GCAUCAGUAGUGGUUACAACUUAACCAUUACAUUUCAUAUGAUGAAGCAACCUCAUGAUCUAUACUGAUUAAUUAUGUUGCGCCAAUGUGAAUUUCUUCGGAAAAUCACAUCGGAAAUCUGAUGUCAUCCCAAAUUACUGAUGCCAAAUUUUAAUAAUGUUAUAAUCAAUCCGAUGAAUAUAUCGAAAUCUCUCUGGGAACGUUCAAUUCGUUCAGAAUUCAACUAUUAAAACGAUAUAAAAUCAUGGUUUACCAGAACCAAAUACAUUCCU
Non-coding RNA from Cinara cedri, 272 nucleotides. The record is from the annotation of a GenBank genome assembly. Lineage: Eukaryota; Metazoa; Arthropoda; Insecta; Hemiptera; Aphididae.